GGGAGAGUAACACAUUGGUAACCUACCUUCGAGACGGGGAUAGCUCACCGAAAGGUGGAUUAAUACCCGAUAGUCAUGGGGGGACUUGAAGUCAUUCCCAUGUAAAGAUUUAUCACUCGAAGAGGGGCCUAUGUCUGAUUAGCUAGUUGGUAGGGUAAUGGCUUACCAAGGCUAUGAUCAGUACCGGGCGUGAGAGCGUGACCCGGCUCACUGGGACUGAGAAACUGCCCAGACUCCUACGGGAGGCUGCAGUCAAGAAUAUUCCGCAAUGGACGAAAGUCUGACGGAGCGACGCCGCGUGCAGGAAGAAGCCCUUCGGGGUGUAAACUGCUUUUCUUAGGGAAGAAUUAGUGACGGUACCUAAGGAAUAAGAGGUUGCUAACUCUGUGCCAGCAGCAGCGGUAAUACAGAGACCUCAAACGUUGUCCGGAUUCAUUGGGCGUAAAGCGCCCGCAGGUGGUUUAGCAAGUUGUUGGUCAAAUCUUGGGGCUUAACUUCAAGGCUGCCAGCAAAACUGCUAGACUAGAGGCUGGAAGAGGCACACGGAACUGUCGGUGUAGUAGUAAAAUGCGUUGAUAUCGACAGGAACACCAAAGGCGAAGGCAGUGUGCUAGUACAGUUCUGACACUCAUGGACGAAAGCGUGGGUAGCGAAUGGGAUUAGAUACCCCAGUAGUCCACGCCUUAAACUAUGUGCAUUAGGUAUUGGAAGUAUCGACCCUUUCAGUGCCGUUCAAAAAAGCUAACGCGUUAAAUGCACCGCCUGGGGAGUACGAACGCAAGUUUAAAACUCAAAGGAAUAGACGGGGACCCGCACAAGCGGUGGAUCAUGCGGUUUAAUUCGAUGGUACGCGGCGAACCUUACCUGGACUUGACAUAUAGCUGCAUUCCAAUGGAAACAUAGGAAGCCUUCGAGGGUGCUAUACAGGUGCUGCAUGGUUGCCGUCAGCUCGUGCCGUGAGGUGUACCCUUAAGUGGGGUAACGAGCGCAACCCUCGUUCUGAGUUAAAUGUACUCAGAAGACUGCUCGCGCAAGCGAGAGGAAGGGGAGGACGACGUCAAAUCAGCAUGGCUCUUACGUCCAGGGCUACACGCAUGAUACAAUGGCCAGUACAAAGGGUUGCCAAAUCGCGAGAUGGAGCCAAUCCCAUAAAGCUGGUCUCAGUUCAGAUUGUAGGCUGCAAUUCGCCUACAUGAAGUUGGAAUCGCUAGUAACCGUGCAUCAGCCACGGCACGGUGAAU
RNAcentral lists this ribosomal RNA (1241 nucleotides) under uncultured bacterium. Its description in RNAcentral is "bacterial SSU rRNA". It matches the Rfam family "Bacterial small subunit ribosomal RNA", at positions 104 to 1367 of the family's 1533-position model. The record is from RNAcentral.